AAAAUCUUUUAUGGUUAAGAAUUGCAAAGUGAUUUCUUAGGAAAUUCCGAGGUUGCGUUUUUUUUAUACACCCUGUAUAUGUGAACCAGGCUUAACGCGACAAUGUUUUGCAAGUCCAGUGGCGUAGCGCUCAUUGGGUAGGGUUAGUUCAAAAACUAAGGGGCCCCGACAGUUAGGGGCCCCAUCACCCACGGCCUAUCGCCCUGAAAAUUAGAAAAUGUAAAAAAUGCAGGUUAAGAAUCAAUGGGAAAUGCAAAAUUAAUAUAAAUGCUAAAUAAAUAAAGCCUCCAUCGUCAACG
Paramuricea clavata is the source of this 299-nucleotide non-coding RNA. Lineage: Eukaryota; Metazoa; Cnidaria; Anthozoa; Malacalcyonacea; Plexauridae. The record is from the annotation of a GenBank genome assembly.